GUAGCUUAGUCUGGUAGAGCGCCUGUCUUAUAAACAGGUGGUCGAGGGUUCAAAUCCCUCC
This 61-nucleotide transfer RNA is filed under the name Candidatus Micrarchaeota archaeon CG1_02_55_22. RNAcentral's name for it is "tRNA-Ile". It matches the Rfam family "tRNA", at positions 7 to 64 of the family's 71-position model. From Rfam's summary of the family: Transfer RNA (tRNA) molecules are approximately 80 nucleotides in length. Their secondary structure includes four short double-helical elements and three loops (D, anti-codon, and T loops). Further hydrogen bonds mediate the characteristic L-shaped molecular structure. tRNAs have two regions of fundamental functional importance: the anti-codon, which is responsible for specific mRNA codon recognition, and the 3' end, to which the tRNAs corresponding amino acid is attached (by aminoacyl-tRNA synthetases). tRNAs cope with the degeneracy of the genetic code in two manners: having more than one tRNA (with a specific anti-codon) for a particular amino acid; and 'wobble' base-pairing, i.e. permitting non-standard base-pairing at the 3rd anti-codon position. The record is from RNAcentral. Lineage: Archaea; Nanobdellati; Microcaldota.